RNAcentral lists this ribosomal RNA (406 nucleotides) under uncultured bacterium. RNAcentral describes it as "partial 16S ribosomal RNA". It matches the Rfam family "Bacterial small subunit ribosomal RNA", at positions 30 to 526 of the family's 1533-position model. The record is from RNAcentral.
AUUGAACGCUGGCGGCAGGCCUAACACAUGCAAGUCGAACGAGUGGCGGACGGGUGAGUAAUGUCUGGGAAACUGCCCGCUGGAGGGGGAUAACUACUGGAAACGGUAGCUAAUACCGCAUACUAUCGGAUGUGCCCAUAUGGGAUUAGCUAGUAGGUGGGGUAAAGGCUCACCUAGGCGACGAUCCCUAGCUGGUCUGAGAGGAUGACCAGCCACACUGGAACUGAGAAAAGGUCAAGACUCCUACGGGAGGCAGCAGUGGGGAAUAUUGCACAAUGGGCGCAAGCCUGAUGCAGCCAUGCCGCUUGUAUGAAGAAGGCCUUAGGGUUGUAAAGUACUUUCAGCGAGGAGGCGUUACCCGCAGAAGAAGCACCGGCUAACUCCGUGCCAGCAGCCGCGGUAAUAC